ACGUAGGGGGCAAGCGUUGUCCGGAAUUAUUGGGCGUAAAGGGCGCGUAGGCGGCCUGGUAAGUCUGGAGUGAAAGUCCUGCUUUUAAGGUGGGAAUUGCUUUGGAUACUGUCGGGCUUGAGUGCAGGAGAGGUAAGUGGAAUUCCCGGUGUAGCGGUGUAAUGCGUUGAGAUCGGGAGGGACACGAGUGGCGGAGGCGACUUACUAGAAUGUAACUCACGCGGAGGCGCGAGAGUGUGGGGAGCAAACAG
This 251-nucleotide ribosomal RNA is filed under the name uncultured prokaryote. RNAcentral's name for it is "partial 16S rRNA". It matches the Rfam family "Bacterial small subunit ribosomal RNA", at positions 525 to 775 of the family's 1533-position model. The record is from RNAcentral.